AGUGAACGCUGGCGGUAGGCCUAACACAUGCAAGUCGAACGGCAGCACAGUAAGAGCUUGCUCUUACGGGUGGCGAGUGGCGGACGGGUGAGGAAUACAUCGGAAUCUACUUUUUCGUGGGGGAUAACGUAGGGAAACUUACGCUAAUACCGCAUACGACCUACGGGUGAAAGCAGGGGAUCUUCGGACCUUGCGCGAUUGAAUGAGCCGAUGUCGGAUUAGCUAGUUGGCGGGGUAAAGGCCCACCAAGGCGACGAUCCGUAGCUGGUCUGAGAGGAUGAUCAGCCACGCUGGAACUGAGACACGGUCCAGACUCCUACGGGAGGCAGCAGUGGGGAAUAUUGGACAAUGGGCGCAAGCCUGAUCCAGCCAUACCGCGUGGGUGAAGAAGGUCUUCGGGUUGUAAAGCCCUUUUGUUGGGAAAGAAAAGCAGCAGGUUAAUACCCCGCUGUUCUGACGGUACCCAAAGAAUAGGCACCGGCUAACUUCGUG
Molecule: ribosomal RNA, 492 nt
Filed under: uncultured bacterium
Lineage: Bacteria
Description: partial 16S ribosomal RNA
Rfam family: Bacterial small subunit ribosomal RNA
Source: RNAcentral